This 342-nucleotide ribosomal RNA is filed under the name uncultured Hydrogenophaga sp. Its description in RNAcentral is "bacterial SSU rRNA". It matches the Rfam family "Bacterial small subunit ribosomal RNA", at positions 1034 to 1382 of the family's 1533-position model. Lineage: Bacteria; Pseudomonadati; Pseudomonadota; Betaproteobacteria; Burkholderiales; Comamonadaceae. The record is from RNAcentral.
ACAGGUGCUGCAUGGCUGUCGUCAGCUCGUGUCGUGAGAUGUUGGGUUAAGUCCCGCAACGAGCGCAACCCUUGUCAUUAGUUGCUACGAAAGGGCACUCUAAUGAGACUGCCGGUGACAAACCGGAGGAAGGUGGGGAUGACGUCAAGUCCUCAUGGCCCUUAUGGGUAGGGCUACACACGUCAUACAAUGGCCGGUACAAAGGGCAGCCAACCCGCGAGGGGGAGCCAAUCCCGUAAAGCCGGUUGUAGUCCGGAUCGCAGUCUGCAACUCGACUGCGUGAAGUCGGAAUCGCUAGUAAUCGUGGAUCAGCAUGUCACGGUGAAUACGUUCCCGGGUCUU